This 492-nucleotide ribosomal RNA is filed under the name uncultured bacterium. Its description in RNAcentral is "partial 16S ribosomal RNA". It matches the Rfam family "Bacterial small subunit ribosomal RNA", at positions 29 to 507 of the family's 1533-position model. The record is from RNAcentral.
AGUGAACGCUGGCGGUAGGCCUAACACAUGCAAGUCGAACGGCAGCACAGUAAGAGCUUGCUCUUACGGGUGGCGAGUGGCGUACGGGUGAGGAAUACAUCGGAAUCUACUUUUUCGUGGGGGUUAACGUAGGGAAACUUACGCUAAUACCGCAUACGACCUACGGGUGAAAGCAGUGGAUCUUCGGACCUUGCGCGAUUGAAUUAGCCGAUGUCGGAUUAGCUAGUUGGCGGGGUAAAGGCCCACCAAGGCGACGAUCCGUAGCUGGUCUGAGAGGAUGAUAAGCCACACUGGAACUGAGACACGGUCCAGAGUCCUACGGGAGGCAGCAGUGGGGAAUAUUGGACAAUGGGCGCAAGCAUGAUACAGCCAUACCGCGUGGGUGAAGAAGGCCUUCGGGUUGUAAAGCCCUUUUGUUGGGAAAGAAAAGCAGCAGGUUAAUACCCAGCUGUUCUGACGGUACCCAAAGAAUAAGCACCGGCUAACUUCGUG